Molecule: ribosomal RNA, 450 nt
Filed under: uncultured bacterium
Lineage: Bacteria
Description: partial 16S ribosomal RNA
Rfam family: Bacterial small subunit ribosomal RNA
Source: RNAcentral
GUGAGGAAUAUUGGGCAAUGGGCGAAAGCCUGACCCAGCCACGCCGCGUGAGUGAUGAAGGCCUUCGGGUUGUAAAGCUCUGUGGGGAGGGAAGAAAAAGCGGGAGAGUAACUGCUCUCGUGUUGACGGUACCUCCUUAGCAAGCACCGGCUAACUCUGUGCCAGCAGCCGCGGUAAUACAGAGGGUGCAAACGUUGCUCGGAAUUACUGGGCGUAAAGCGCGUGUAGGCUGACAUGCAAGUCGGGUGUGAAAUCGCAGGGCUCAACCUUGGAACUGCACUCGAAACUGCACGUCUUGAGUACUGGAGAGGGAAGCGGAAUUCCGGGUGUAGAGGUGAAAUUCGUAGAUAUCCGGAGGAACACCAGUGGCGAAGGCGGCUUCCUGGACAGUAACUGACGCUGAGACGCGAAAGCGUGGGGAGCAAACAGGAUUAGAAACCCCAGUAGUCC